RNAcentral lists this ribosomal RNA (301 nucleotides) under uncultured bacterium. RNAcentral's name for it is "partial 16S ribosomal RNA". It matches the Rfam family "Bacterial small subunit ribosomal RNA", at positions 509 to 808 of the family's 1533-position model. The record is from RNAcentral.
CAGCAGCCGCGGGAAUACGUAGGUGGCAAGCGUUGUCCGGAAUUAUUGGCGUAAAGGGCUCGCAGGCGGUUUCUUAAGUCUGAUGUGAAAGCCCCCGGCUCAACCGGGGAGGGUCAUUGGAAACUGGGAAACUUGAGUGCAGAAGAGGAGAGUGGAAUUCCACGUGUAGCGGUGAAAUGCGUAGAGAUGUGGAGGAACACCAGUGGCGAAAGCGACUCUCUGGUCUGUAACUGACGCUGAGGAGCGAAAGCGUGGGGAGCGAACAGGAUUAGAUACCCCAGUAGUCCCUGUCUCUUAUACA